Molecule: ribosomal RNA, 375 nt
Filed under: uncultured eukaryote
Lineage: Eukaryota
Description: partial 18S ribosomal RNA
Rfam family: Eukaryotic small subunit ribosomal RNA
Source: RNAcentral
CAAUAGCGUAUAUUUAAGUUGUUGCAGUUAAAAAGCUCGUAGUUGGAUUUCGGUUGAGAGCGGCCGGUCCGCCGUUUGGCGUGCACUGGCUGGUUUCAACUUCCUGUAGAGGACGCGCUUUGGGCUUAACGGUCUGAACGUGGAGUCUACAUGGUUACUUUGAAAAAAUUAGAGUGUUCAAAGCGGGCUUACGCUUGAAUAUUUCAGCAUGGAAUAACACUAUAGGACUCCUGUCCUAUUUCGUUGGUCUCGGGACGGGAGUAAUGAUUAAUAGGGAUAGUUGGGGGCAUUAGUAUUUAUUAGCUAGAGGUGGAAUUCUCUAAUUUGAUAAAGACUAACUUAUGCGAAAGCAUUUGCCAAGGAUGUUUUCAUUAA